Long non-coding RNA from Carcharodon carcharias (great white shark), 1234 nucleotides. RefSeq lists it as uncharacterized. NCBI's taxonomy places the organism in Eukaryota, Metazoa, Chordata, Chondrichthyes, Lamniformes, Lamnidae. The record is from RefSeq and is a predicted model, not a curated record. The transcript has 3 exons.
AUUGCUGUUCUGUGACAGAAGCUGCUCUGAGGGUUAGAGAACGUCGAGUGGAGCAAACUAACAGAGUUAGUGGGUGUGUGAGGAGGAAUGGAGCCAGCGGAGUGGGCAGGGAGGCUUCAUAAAGGCACAGUGCAGACCGCAGAUCCCAUUAACAAGGUAUCGGUCUUGUGUUUGACGAGAACGAACCGAAAAAGUUUGGAUUUUUCCCUUCGCCAGGCCCGGGGUAACGGCCGCCAUCUUUAUAGGGGGCAAAGUGCAGCAGGGCGCAUGCGCGAUCACCCCUGGUCCAGGUGGCAGGAGGAGAGAAUGUUGUAAAUUUCUAUCCUGGACUGACAGGGAUGGAUUUUGGAAACUCCUUUUACAGGGGGUUAGAAGUGGAGGAUUUACAGACGGGGAAGACCUGACAGAGCCACUCGAUUCAUCAGGACUGGGAUCCUCCUUUUCUAAUGCUCAGUACAAACCAUUUCCCAAAGCUGUCACUUAGUCCAGGAUAGAAAUUCAGGACCCAGAUAUUAUCGGCCUCUGAGUGUAAGCAUUGAGUUCCAGGUCUUUACUACUCAAGGAGUAAAAACGUUUUUCCUCACAUCUCCCCCUGCAGAUCUAGCCCAAAAUCUUUCAUUUGUGUCCUGUAAUCCUUUUACAGUCAGUUAAUGGGAACAGCUUUUCCUUAUCUACCUUAUCUGAACCUAUCAUAAACUUGUACACCUCCAUUAAAUCUCCCUUUAAUCCCCUUUUCUCCAAGGAGAACCUAACCUUACUUUUAAAAUCCCUCAUCCCUUGAACCAUUCUGUUAAAUCUCCUCUGCCCCCUCUCAAGGCCCCUCACAUCCUUUACAAUGUGUGGUGAUCACUGGUUUGCACAGACCCAGAUGUUCUGUGUCUGUGACAUCAUCAAACAUCGACAAUUACACUGUGACAUCAUCACACAUCGACAAUUACACUGUGACAUCACCCCGCUCCCCGGGUAUUUCCUCAACUGGGAGAUUUUUCUCUGACUCCAGUGCUUCUGAUAUCUUUCCAGCUGCAGGCUCUAGCAGGAGAGUUUAAAAUUGAACCUUGAAAUUGUUUCACAGAUACCAACAUAUAUUGCGAAGCCCCAGUUGCCUGUGGAGAAGAUGAUGUUUGACCUUCUUGAACCGCUGCAGUCUGUGUGGUGAAGGUGCUCCCACAGUGCUGAUCGGGUAUUAGAAGGGGAGGAUUUGCAGUCGGGAAACUGAAACCAAACAUCACAUCAA